UGGGGAAUAUUGCACAAUGGGCGCAAGCCUGAUGCAGCCAUGCCGCGUGUGUGAAGAAGGCCUUCGGGUUGUAAAGCACUUUCAGCGGGGAGGAAGGCGGUGAGGUUAAUAACCUCAUCGAUUGACGUUACCCGCAGAAGAAGCACCGGCUAACUCCGUGCCAGCAGCCGCGGUAAUACGGAGGGUGCAAGCGUUAAUCGGAAUUACUGGGCGUAAAGCGCACGCAGGCGGUCUGUCAAGUCGGAUGUGAAAUCCCCGGGCUCAACCUGGGAACUGCAUUCGAAACUGGCAGGCUAGAGUCUUGUAGAGGGGGGUAGAAUUCCAGGUGUAGCGGUGAAAUGCGUAGAGAUCUGGAGGAAUACCGGAGGCGAAGGCGGCCCCCUGGACAAAGACUGACGCUCAGGUGCGAAAGCGUGGGGAGCAAACAGG
This 429-nucleotide ribosomal RNA is filed under the name Chloroflexota bacterium. Its description in RNAcentral is "Chloroflexi bacterium partial 16S ribosomal RNA". It matches the Rfam family "Bacterial small subunit ribosomal RNA", at positions 355 to 776 of the family's 1533-position model. The record is from RNAcentral. Lineage: Bacteria; Bacillati; Chloroflexota.